CCUGGCUCACGAUGAACGCUGGCGGCGCGCCUAACACAUGCAAGUCGAACGAGCGAGAGAGAGCUUGCUUUCUCGAGCGAGUGGCGAACGGGUGAGUAACGCGUGAGGAACCUGCCUCAAAGAGGGGGACAACAGUUGGAAACGACUGCUAAUACCGCAUAAGCCCACGGCUCGGCAUCGAGCAGAGGGAAAAGGAGCAAUCCGCUUUGAGAUGGCCUCGCGUCCGAUUAGCUAGUUGGUGAGGUAAUGGCCCACCAAGGCGACGAUCGGUAGCCGGACUGAGAGGUUGAACGGCCACAUUGGGACUGAGACACGGCCCAGACUCCUACGGGAGGCAGCAGUGGGGAAUAUUGCACAAUGGGGGAAACCCUGAUGCAGCGACGCCGCGUGGAGGAAGAAGGUCUUCGGAUUGUAAACUCCUGUUGUUGAGGAAGAUAAUGACGGUACUCAACAAGGAAGUGACGGCUAACUACGUGCCAGCAGCCGCGGUAAAACGUAGGUCACAAGCGUUGUCCGGAAUUACUGGGUGUAAAGGGAGCGCAGGCGGGAAGACAAGUUGGAAGUGAAAUCCAUGGGCUCAACCCAUGAACUGCUUUCAAAACUGUUUUUCUUGAGUAGUGCAGAGGUAGGCGGAAUUCCCGGUGUAGCGGUGGAAUGCGUAGAUAUCGGGAGGAACACCAGUGGCGAAGGCGGCCUACUGGGCACCAACUGACGCUGAGGCUCGAAAGUGUGGGUAGCAAACAGGAUUAGAUACCCUGGUAGUCCACACUGUAAACGAUGAUUACUAGGUGUUGGAGGAUUGACCCCUUCAGUGCCGCAGUUAACACAAUAAGUAAUCCACCUGGGGAGUACGACCGCAAGGUUGAAACUCAAAGGAAUUGACGGGGGCCCGCACAAGCAGUGGAGUAUGUGGUUUAAUUCGACGCAACGCGAAGAACCUUACCAAGUCUUGACAUCCUGCGACGGUGCUGGAAACAGUACUUUCCUUCGGGACGCAGAGACAGGUGGUGCAUGGUUGUCGUCAGCUCGUGUCGUGAGAUGUUGGGUUAAGUCCCGCAACGAGCGCAACCCUUAUGGUCAGUUACUACGCAAGAGGACUCUGGCCAGACUGCCGUUGACAAAACGGAGGAAGGUGGGGAUGACGUCAAAUCAUCAUGCCCUUUAUGACUUGGGCUACACACGUACUACAAUGGCGUUAAACAAAGAGAAGCAAGACCGCGAGGUGGAGCAAAACUCAGAAACAACGUCCCAGUUCGGACUGCAGGCUGCAACUCGCCUGCACGAAGUCGGAAUUGCUAGUAAUCGCAGAUCAGCAUGCUGCGGUGAAUACGUUCCCGGGCCUUGUACACACCGCCC
Molecule: ribosomal RNA, 1356 nt
Filed under: uncultured bacterium
Lineage: Bacteria
Description: bacterial SSU rRNA
Rfam family: Bacterial small subunit ribosomal RNA
Source: RNAcentral